Pelodiscus sinensis (Chinese soft-shelled turtle) is the source of this 3790-nucleotide non-coding RNA. Lineage: Eukaryota; Metazoa; Chordata; Testudines; Trionychidae. The record is from RefSeq and is a predicted model, not a curated record.
GAGCGUUUUGUCGGUUAAACGGUCACGCGCAGACGGGCGAGUGCGGAACGGCUCUCCAGUCACAGCUCCCGGCUCCUGCGGGGAGUUUAAGGAGGCAGCAGGAGCGCUCCAAUGGCCCCUCUUAGCUUUGCCAUCCACUGGGGAAUCCGUGCUUACUGCGCACCCCCAGCACCACAGCCUUAGAGGGAACUCGCCCUGUUCACGGGUACCAGCGUGCUGACAACAGAUCCGUCGUUCCCCUUGGCUAAGCCCCGUGAUCUGGCAAUAAGGAGUCUCACAGGAAUAUCCCGGGGACCACCAAGUUUCCGUUGUAUAGGGGCCACCCUAGGAGGACCGAGAUUUUUUUCGACACCCAUGGUACUUGUGCUUACUGAAACAAAGGUCAUUGACAAAGACGUUAAACAACAUAGGGCCAAGAACCAGUCUCUGUGGAACUCUACUAGGGACACACCCACUCAAUGGUGAUCCUGUUUACAACUACAUUUGGAGUUCUGUCAGAUAAAGGAGAAAGCCAAUGCUUUGGACAAUGGUGGUUCUGACAGACAAUGAGGCAGUGAGAAGGAGCACUGCUCCCAGCCAGCCAGCAAGCUCUCUAAUCAACAAGCAACACUCUUGGCAAUGAUGUCCCUCAGCAAAGAACACUCCAGGUUUGGAAGGUACAACAAAUCUCCAAGGAGAAGGAGAGGGGUAAGCAGGAAAGGGAAUUCCAAAGAAUAGCCUAUCCACGGUGAGUUGGGGUUGAUUAAAGAGGCCAUAAAAUCAAAAACCCAAUAUUGACUGGGAACAUGUUAACUCAUGGUGUGAUACAAAGAUAAAGUUUUAGAACAUUAACAACUGCUUGUAGGAGGCAUUCUGAAUCUAGUCCUAAGUGAAGCACAGGAUCUGGUGUAAGAGAUGAAUAUAUCUGAACUGCUUAGUAACUGCAACAGUAAUGUAAUUAAAUUUAACAUCUUUACAGGAGGGAAAAUACCAAAGAAACCCACCAUGGUAGCAUUUAUCUUCAAAAGAGGAACUAAACAAAAAUUAGGCUAGUUAAACGGAAAUCAAAAGGAACAGUCAGAAGAGUGAAAUGCCUGUAAGCUCCAUGGAAACUUUAAAAAAAAUUAUGAUAGAUGUCCAAAUUAUAUGAAUACCUCUAAAACAAAAGUAGCAAGAGGAUCACAAAAAUGUUCCAUGGAUAAUCAAUAUAGUAAAAGAGGCAAUUAGAGAAAGAGACAUUUUCUAAAAAGCGGAGGUCAAAUUCUACUGAGGAAAAGAGAAAGGAGCAUAAACUCUAGCACGAAUAAAAGCAUGACCAGACAGGCCAAAAAAGAAUCUGAAGAGCAUCUAGCAGAAAACACAAAAACAGCAAUUAAAAAAAAAAGUACAUCAGAAGCAGAAAGCCUGCUAAACAAUCAGUGCAGCCACUGGACAGGCAAGGUGCUAAAGGAGCACUCCGGGAAGAAAAGGCUGUUUUAGAGAAGCUAGAAGAAUUCUCUGCAUUGGUCUUCACUGCAGAGGAUGUGAGGAAAUUCCCAUACCUAAGUCAUUCUUCCCAGGUGAUAAAUCUGAGGAACUGUCCCCAGACUGAGGUGUCAGAGAAGGUUUUGGAACAAAUUGAUAAAAAAAAACAGUAAUAAGCCAUCGGGACCAGAUAGUAUGCAUGCAAAAGUUCUUAAGGAAUUCAAAUAUGAAACUGCAAAGACAGGAUACUAGAUGGGAAGGGCUCUGAGUUACCUGGGAAAGAAUUUUCUGUAGUGUCUGCCUGGUGGGUCUUUCCCACAUGCUUAGUGUCUAACUGAUCAUCAUAUUUGGGGUUAUGAAGAAACUGGUGGUGGUGGGGGGAUGGAAAAUUCAUCCUCCUCUAGAGAAUGGGUCACAGGUCACUUUCAGGUUUAAACUAAUGUAAAUGGUAAAUUCUCUGUAACUUGAAGUCUUUUAACUAUUAGUUGAGGACUUCAGUAAUUUAGCCUCCAGUCUAUUUCAGGUGUGCGUGUGUGAGAUUCUGUGGCCUGAACUGUGCAGGAGGUCAGACUGAUCUUAAAGUCUAUGAGAACUACUAACAGUGAUAUGUAACAUUAGCCUCUGUCCCAGAGGACUGACAGAUAGCAAAUGAAAUGCUGAUCUUUUAAAAAAGGCUCCAGAGGCCAUACCUUGGCAAUUACAAGCCAAUAACUUCACUACCAGACAAACUGGUUAAGGCUAUAAUAAAGAACAGAAUCAUCAGACUCAUAGAUGCACAUGAUUUGUUGGGGAAGAAUCAACGUGGAUUUGGUAAAGAGAAAUCAUGCCUCAUCAUCUGAUUAGAAUUCUUUGAGAGGGAUCAACAAAUACUUGGAUAAGCGUGAUCCAGUGGAUAUAGGGUACUUGGAUUUCAGCAAGUCAUUGACAAGGUCCCUCACACCAAAGACUCUUAAGCAAAGUAGGCAGUCAGAAGGAAAGAGGGAAGGUCCUCUCAUGGAUCAGUAACUGCUUAAAAUAUAAGAAAAAGAGGGGUGGAACAAAUGAAGUUUUCACAGUGAAGAGGGGUAAACCGCAGUGUCCCCGAGGGAUCUGUUCUGGGAACAGUGCUGUUCAACAUAUUCAAAAAUGAGCUGGAAAGAGGUAAACGGUGAGGUGGAAAAAUUUUCAGACAAUACAAAACUAAUCAAGAUAAUUAAGUACAAAGCAGACUGUGAAAAGUCACAAAGAACAAAAUGGCAGAUAAAAUUCAAUAUUGAUAAGGGCAAAGUAAUGUACAUUGGAGAACAAUCCCAACCAAUCUUCCCUCUAAUUUUUCAUAUGCAUGUGCAGAAUGAAUUUUGUUAUGUGGUGGUGAUGUGUGGUGGGAAUGGGGCUCAGGCUCCGAGUUGGGGCAGAAGGGGUAGGGGUGAGGGCUCUCACUGAGAGUGAAGGCUGUGGGGUGGGUCUAGGGAUGAGAGAUUUGGAGUGCAGUUUGCCCUGGGACUGUGGCAGGAAGAGAGGACUUCCCCAAGUCCUCUCUCCCAGCAACAGGUCUGGGGCUAUGGGAGAGGCAUGUUUCCCCUACACACACAGUCCUGAGCACUAUGUACAGAAAAUGAUGGGGUCUAAAUUAGUUAUCAGUCAACACAGACAUCUUGGAGUCAUGGUGGACAGUUCUCUGAAAACACUUGUUAGAAGUGCAGCAGCAGUCAAAAAAGUUAAUGUUAGGAACCAUUAGGAAAGGUCUAGAUAAAACAGAAAAUAUCAUAACAUCGCUAUGGAAAUCCAUAGUACGCCCACACCCUUGAAUACUUCAAGCAGUUCUGGUCACCCAUUCUCAAAAAAAUACAUUAACCAGGAGAUCUUACCAUGAUCAAAAAGGAGUCUCUCAAAAAGUGGAAACUUGGUCAAAUUCCAAAGGAUGAAUCUAAGCAAACAAUGCCAGUAUGCAGGGGCAAGAUUAGAAAGGCAAAGGCACAAAAUGAGCUCAAACUAGCUAAAGAUAUAAUGGGUAACAAGACAACAUUCUACAGCUAUAUUAAAAGCAGGAAGAUGACCAAGAAUAGAGUAGGCCCUUUGCUUAGUGAAGAGGGAGAAACAACAGGAAAUUUGGAAAUGGCAGAGGUGCUUAAUGACUUCUUUUUUUCGGUUUUCACCAAGAAGAUUGAUGGUGAUGAGAUGCCCAACAUAGUGAACGCUUGUGGAAAUGGCGUAGGUUUAGAAACUAAAAUAGGAAAAGAACAAGUUAAAAAUUUCUUAGAAAAGUUAGAUGUCUUCAAGUCACUGGGGCCUAUCCCACAAGACAGCUGUCAUCCAUGAUUUAAUACUAGAUGAAGGGGCUGACCUGACUUGUAUCACUGAAACCUGG